RNAcentral lists this ribosomal RNA (441 nucleotides) under uncultured bacterium. RNAcentral describes it as "bacterial SSU rRNA". It matches the Rfam family "Bacterial small subunit ribosomal RNA", at positions 355 to 819 of the family's 1533-position model. The record is from RNAcentral.
UCGAGAAUCUUCCGCAAUGGACGAAAGUCUGACGGAGCGACGCCGCGUGAAGGAUGAAGUAUUUCGGUAUGUAAACUUCGAAAGAAUAGGAAGAAUAAAUGACGGUACUAUUUAUAAGGUCCGGCUAACUACGUGCCAGCAGCCGCGGUAAUACGUAGGGACCAAGCGUUGUUCGGAUUUACUGGGCGUAAAGGGCGCGUAGGCGGCGCGGUAAGUCACUUGUGAAAUCUCUGAGCUUAACUCAGAACGGCCAAGUGAUACUGCAGUGCUAGAGUGCAGAAGGGGCAAUCGGAAUUCUUGGUGUAGCGGUGAAAUGCGUAGAUAUCAAGAGGAACACCUGAGGUGAAGACGGGUUGCUGGGCUGACACUGACGCUGAGGCGCGAAAGCCAGGGGAGCAAACGGGAUUAGAUACCCCCGUAGUCCCUGAGCGGGCUGGCAAG